RNAcentral lists this ribosomal RNA (292 nucleotides) under uncultured bacterium. RNAcentral's name for it is "partial 16S ribosomal RNA". It matches the Rfam family "Bacterial small subunit ribosomal RNA", at positions 505 to 796 of the family's 1533-position model. The record is from RNAcentral.
GUGUCAGCAGCCGCGGUAAGACAGAGGGUGCAAACGUUGUUCGGAAUUACUGGGCGUAAAGCGUGUGUAGGCGGCCUCAUAAGUCGGAUGUGAAAGCCCCGGGCUCAACUCGGGAAGUGCACUCGAUACUGUGAGGCUUGAGUAUCGGAGAGGUUGGUGGAAUUCUCGGUGUAGAGGUGAAAUUCGUAGAUAUCGAGAGGAACACCGGUGGCGAAAGCGGCCAACUGGACGAAUACUGACGCUGAGACACGAAAGCGUGGGGAGCAAACAGGAUUAGAUACCCCGGUAGUCC